CUUUUUUUUAGAUUGAUUGAACCGAAAAGGAUACUAACAUUAUGGUCCACCUAAAAUGUGUCAAAAAUGGAAAAUUAAAUCAAACCGAAAUCAGUGAUUAGAAGCUAAUAAAAGCCGAUGUGUAUAAAAUUUACAUGAACGACAAAUAUCUUUCACAAUUAUCAAGAUGUAUAAGGGAGCGGUCGGCGUUUUCUUGGGAUAAUCAUGACUUAAGUAAAAUGGCAGGUGAACGUCUCUACGUACCUUCUCUCUCGCAGCCUCACCUCAAUUCGUCUUUGAUAUGAACGAGAUUGCAAAGUGAACCAGACAUUAAGUCAACGACCAAAUGCUUUCCCAUGUAUUGAAAAUAUAGAGGUGCACAUUCCACAGAUUGCAAUAUAGUUGCGAGUGCGUAAGUUGUCAGCAAAACAAACACAUAGACCGCAGUAUCGGUGAAACCACCAGCGAUUCUGGAGAACUCUCCUGGUGGCCUCAAUUCUUGAGUACGAGCAUUAUAUCAACAGGUAUCCUUGCGCAAUGAGAACACAAAAUGAGCGAAGAAUAGGAAAGAGAUUUUAAUCGUUUAUAUAACGGCUUCCUUAAGUGUCAAUGGGAUGACUUCAACAAUAACAUCAUCUUGAACUUUUAGCCGUUCUUAAUUAUAAGUAACAAAAAUUAUU
This is a long non-coding RNA of Cotesia glomerata, 659 nucleotides long. RefSeq lists it as uncharacterized. Lineage: Eukaryota; Metazoa; Arthropoda; Insecta; Hymenoptera; Braconidae. The transcript is spliced from 3 exons. The record is from RefSeq and is a predicted model, not a curated record.